UACGUAGGGUCCGAGCGUUGUUCGGAAUUACUGGGCGUAAAGAGUGUGUAGGCGGUGCUCUAAGUUCGGUGUGAAAUCUCCUGGCUCAACUGGGAGGGUGCGCCGGAAACUGGAGUGCUUGAGCGUGGGAGAGGAAAGCGGAAUUCCUGGUGUAGCGGUGAAAUGCGUAGAUAUCAGGAGGAACACCUGUGGUGUAGACGGCUUUCUGGACCAUAGCUGACGCUGAGACACGAAAGCGUGGGUAGCAAACAGG
This 253-nucleotide ribosomal RNA is filed under the name uncultured bacterium. Its description in RNAcentral is "partial 16S ribosomal RNA". It matches the Rfam family "Bacterial small subunit ribosomal RNA", at positions 524 to 776 of the family's 1533-position model. The record is from RNAcentral.